AUAAUAUAUUGAUUGGCAUCAAUUGAUAUUGAAAGCUCCGGCGGAUAGAGAUGGGCACGCGCAAGAUUAGUUAGUUGGUGAGGUAACGGCUCACCAAGACGAUGAUCUUUAGGGGCCUGAGAGGGUGAUCCCCCACACUGGUACUGAGACACGGACCAGACUCCUACGGGAGGCAGCAGUGAGGAAUAUUGGUCAAUGGGUGCAAGCCUGAACCAGCCAUCCCGCGUGAAGGACGACUGCCCCUAUGGGUUGUAAACUUCUUUUGUAUAGGGAUAAACCUACCCUCGUGAGGGUAGCUGAAGGUACUAUACGAAUAAGCACCGGCUAACUCCGUG
Molecule: ribosomal RNA, 335 nt
Filed under: uncultured bacterium
Lineage: Bacteria
Description: bacterial SSU rRNA
Rfam family: Bacterial small subunit ribosomal RNA
Source: RNAcentral